This is a non-coding RNA of Ceratotherium simum simum (southern white rhinoceros), 254 nucleotides long. NCBI's taxonomy places the organism in Eukaryota, Metazoa, Chordata, Mammalia, Perissodactyla, Rhinocerotidae. The record is from RefSeq and is a predicted model, not a curated record.
CGCGCCAGGGGCUGGGAAGGAGACACGGCUGCAGUGUUCUUGCCAGGAUGGUCACUUUAUUGACAGGCAGGGCCCCAGCCCCUCGGCCCAGCGGAGGGCGCUCUGGGCAUGAGGUUUGACCACCCGGCCCUCCCACGCUCCUGGCAGGGGCCCCAGACAGGGCUGAGGGGUGGCUGGCCAGAGCCUGCACAGGAGCCUCAUGGAACAGGGCAGUCUGGCCUGGGCACCGGAGUCAAUAAAUUAUGGUCAAAAAA